AUUCCAGCUCCAAUAGCGUAUAUUAAAGUUGUUGCAGUUAAAAAGCUCGUAGUUGGAUUUCGGGAUGAGAAGCAUGGUCUACCGAAAGGUGUGUACUAGGCGGCUCAUUCUUCCUUCUGUAGACCUUUGUGGUUCUUGAUUGGAUUGCAGAGUGGAUGCAGAACGUUUACUUUGAAUAAAUUAGAGUGUUCAAAGCAGGCAUUUGCUUGAAUACAUUAGCAUGGAAUAAUGGAAUAGGACUUUGGUUCUAUUUUGUUGGUUUCUAGGACCGAAGUAAUGAUUAAUAGGGAUAGUUGGGGGCAUUAAUAUUUAAUUGUCAGAGGUGAAAUUCUUGGAUUUAUGAAAGAUUAACUUCUGCGAAAGCAUUUGCCAAGGAUGUUUUCAUUG
Molecule: ribosomal RNA, 387 nt
Filed under: Ancyromonas sp.
Lineage: Eukaryota; Ancyromonadida; Ancyromonadidae
Description: partial small subunit ribosomal RNA
Rfam family: Eukaryotic small subunit ribosomal RNA
Source: RNAcentral